CUAAAUACUACCCAGUGACCGAUAGCGUAUAGUACUGUGAAGGAAAGGUGAAAAGCACCCCGGGAGGGGAGUGAAAUAGAACCUGAAACCCUGUGCCUACAAGCACCUAGAGCACGUCAAUGUGUGAUAGGGUACUUUUUGUAGAACGGUCCGGCGAGCGAUUGUAUGCAGCAAGGUUAAGGACUUAAGGUCUGGAGCCGAAGCGAAAGCGAGUUUGAAAAGGGCGUUAAGUUGCAUACAAUGGGCCCGAAACCGGGUGACCUACCCAUGGUCAGGUUGAAGUGGAAGUAAAAUUCCAUGGAGGACCGAACCGACCUCCGUUGAAAAGGCGGCGGAUGAACUGUGGGUAGCGGAGAAAUUCCAAUCGAACCCGGAGAUAGCUGGUUCUCCCCGAAAUAGUUUUAGGACUAGCCUCAAGUUAGAUACCUGGAGGUAAAGCACUGAAUAGCCUAGCGGCCGAGAGGUUAGCGAAGCUUAUCAAACUCAGAAUGCCAGAGUAUUGAUGCUUGGGAGUCAGACAGUGUCAGAUAAAUGUCAUUGUCAAAAGGGAAACAGCCCAGAUCUACAGCUAAGGUCCCAAAGUCAGGUUAAGUGGAAAACGAUGUGAAGAUACGUAGACAACCAGGAUGUUGGCUCAGAAGCAGCCACUCAUUCAAAGAGUGCGUAAUAGCUCACUGGUCGAGCGUCUUUGCGCGGAGAAUUUAACGGGGCUAAACCUGACACCGAAGCUUAGGCAAUCCAGCAAUGGAUUGGGUAGGGGAGCGUUGUAUACGCGGAGAAACAGUAGCGCAAGCGGCUGUGGAGUGUAUAGAAGUGAGAAUGCCGGAAUGAGUAGCGCGAAUGCAGUGAGAAUCUGCAUGGCCGAAAGCCUCAGGUUUCUGGAGGAAGGUUCGUCCGCUCCAGGUUAGUCGGGAGCUAAGGUGAGGCCGAAAGGCGUAGCCGAUGCACAGACGGUAGAGAUUCCGUCACCACCAAAAGAGUUAAGCACAGGGACACAUUUGAAGUCUCGGAGCCGGGUGUUGGUUCCGGUAGCGAUCGAGGGAAGUUAGUACCGAAGUCCGGGAUGGAAGAUGGCGAGAAAAGCUGUGUGUAUUUCUGCGGUGCCCGUACCGCAAACCGACACAGGUAGGUAGGAAGAAGAUUCUAAGGCCAACGGGAGAAGGGUUGUUAAGGAACUCGGCAAAUUGACCCCGUAACUUCGGGAGAAGGGGUGCUCCAGAGAUGGAGCCGCAGAGAAUCGGCCCAAGCAACUGUUUACCAAAAACACAGGUUUGUGCUAAAUCGAAAGAUGACGUAUACGAGCUGACGCCUGCCCGGUGCUGGAAGGUUAAGAGGAGAUGUGCAAGCAUUGAAUCGAAGCCCCAGUGAACGGCGGCCGUAACUAUAACGGUCCUAAGGUAGCGAAAUUCCUUGUCAGGUAAGUUCUGACCCGCAUGAAAGGCGUAAUGAUUUGGGCACUGUCUCAACAGCCCGCCCGGCGAAAUUGUAGUACCGGUGAAGAUGCCGGUUACCCGC
This 1515-nucleotide ribosomal RNA is filed under the name human gut metagenome. Its description in RNAcentral is "bacterial LSU rRNA". It matches the Rfam family "Bacterial large subunit ribosomal RNA", at positions 466 to 2073 of the family's 2925-position model. The record is from RNAcentral.